Molecule: ribosomal RNA, 433 nt
Filed under: uncultured bacterium
Lineage: Bacteria
Description: partial 16S ribosomal RNA
Rfam family: Bacterial small subunit ribosomal RNA
Source: RNAcentral
AGCGAACGCUGGCGGCAGGCUUAACACAUGCAAGUCGAGCGGGCCCUUCGGGGUCAGCGGCAGACGGGUGAGUAACACGUGGGAACGUACCCUUUGGUUCGGAAUAACGCUGGGAAACUAGCGCUAAUACCGGAUACGCCCUUUUGGGGAAAGGCUUGCUGCCGAAGGAUCGGCCCGCGUCUGAUUAGCUAGUUGGUGGGGUAAUGGCCUACCAAGGCGACGAUCAGUAGCUGGUCUGAGAGGAUGAUCAGCCACACUGGGACUGAGACACGGCCCAGACUCCUACGGGAGGCAGCAGUGGGGAAUAUUGGACAGUGGGCGCAAGCCUGAUCCAGCCAUGCCGCGUGAGUGAUGAAGGCCUUAGGGUUGUAAAGCUCUUUUGUCCGGGACGAUAAUGACGGUACCGGAAGAAUAAGCCCCGGCUAACUUCGUG